AUGGACAAGAUCCUGAAAGCGUCAUUAUUAGUCUUAACCCUUCACCUAGCAUGGGUGAGUGGCCAGCAGGAGAGAUCUGACCAGCAGCAGGUCAGACAAAGCCCACAAUCUCUGUCAGUCUUGGAAGGAGGAACUUCAGUUCUAAACUGCACUUAUGAGAACAGCGCGUUUAACUACUUCCCAUGGUACCGGCAGUUCCCUGGUGAAGGCCCUGCAUUACUGAUGGACAUACGUUCAGUGUCGAACAAAAAGGAAGAUGGACGAUUCACAGUCUUCUUCAGGAAAAGUGAUAAACAGCUCUCCUUGCACAUCAGAGAUUCUCAGCCUGGAGACUCAGCCACCUACUUCUGUGCAGCAAGUGCACAGUGCUCUCCAGGCACCUGCAGCCACACCCAAACCUGCAGCUGUGCUCCAGCAUAG
Microtus oregoni (creeping vole) is the source of this 420-nucleotide non-coding RNA. Lineage: Eukaryota; Metazoa; Chordata; Mammalia; Rodentia; Cricetidae. The record is from the annotation of a RefSeq genome assembly.